Molecule: non-coding RNA, 73 nt
Organism: Bombyx mori (domestic silkworm)
Lineage: Eukaryota; Metazoa; Arthropoda; Insecta; Lepidoptera; Bombycidae
Source: RefSeq, marked provisional
UUGCUGGUUUAUAUCCGGCUCGAAGGACCAUAUGUUGCGUUGUGGUAAUUGAGCGUGGACUGUAUUUGUUAUU